CAGUAGCCGCGGUAAUACGUAGGGUGCGAGCGUUAAUCGGAAUUACUGGGCGCAAAGCGUGCGCAGGCGGUUGUGUAAGACAGGUGUGAAAUCCCCGGGCUUAACCUGGGAACUGCGCUUGUGACUGCACAGCUAGAGUAUGGCAGAGGGGGGUGGAAUUCCACGUGUAGCAGUGAAAUGCGUAGAGAUGUGGAGGAACACCGAUGGCGAAGGCAGCCCCCUGGGCCAAUACUGACGCUCAUGCACGAAAGCGUGGGGAGCAAACAGGAUUAGAUACCCCAGUAGUCCCUGUCUCUUAUAA
RNAcentral lists this ribosomal RNA (301 nucleotides) under uncultured bacterium. RNAcentral's name for it is "partial 16S ribosomal RNA". It matches the Rfam family "Bacterial small subunit ribosomal RNA", at positions 509 to 809 of the family's 1533-position model. The record is from RNAcentral.